Molecule: ribosomal RNA, 434 nt
Filed under: uncultured bacterium
Lineage: Bacteria
Description: partial 16S ribosomal RNA
Rfam family: Bacterial small subunit ribosomal RNA
Source: RNAcentral
AGCGAACGCUGGCGGCAGGCCUAACACAUGCAAGUCGAACGAACCUUUCGGGGUUAGUGGCGGACGGGUGAGUAACACGUGGGAACAUGCCUUUAGGUUCGGAAUAACUCAGGGAAACUUGUGCUAAUACCGAAUGUGCCCUUCGGGGGAAAGAUUAAUCGCCUUUAGAGCGGCCCGCGUCGGAUUAGCUAGUUGGUUGAGGUAAUGGCUCACCAAGGCGACGAUCAGUAGCUGGUCUGAGAGGAUGAUCAGCCACAUCGGGACUGAGACACGGCCCAAACUCCUACGGGAGGCAGCAGUGGGGAAUCUUGCGCAAUGGGCGAAAGCCUGACGCAGCCAUGCCGCGUGAAUGAUGAAGGUCUUAGGAUUGUAAAAUUCUUUCACCGGGGACGAUAAUGACGGUACCCGGAGAAGAAGCCCCGGCUAACUUCGUG